CAGGGAUUGCCCUAGUAACGGCGAGUGAAGCGGCAACAGCUCAAAUUUGAAAUCUGGCCUCGGCCCGAGUUGUAAUUUGCAGAGGAUGUUUCUGGCGCGGUGCCUUCCGAGUUCCCUGGAACGGGACGCCAAAGAGGGUGAGAGCCCCGUAUGGUCGGACACCAAGCCUGUGUGAAACUCCUUCGACGAGUCGAGUAGUUUGGGAAUGCUGCUCUAAAUGGGAGGUAAAUCUCUUCUAAAGCUAAAUACCGGCCAGAGACCGAUAGCGCACAAGUAGAGUGAUCGAAAGAUGAAAAGCACCUUGAAAAGGGGGUUAAAUAGUACGUGAAAUUGUUGAAAGGGAAGCACUUAUGACCAGACUUGGGCCGGGCGGCUCAUCAGGGGUUCUCCCCUGUGCACUCCGCCCGGCACAGGCCAGCAUCGGUUCUCGUGGGGGGAUAAGACCGUCAGGAACGUAGCACCCUCCGGGGUGUGUUAUAGCCUGGCGGACGAUACCCUCGUGGGGACCGAGGUUCGCGCUCCGCAAGGAUGCUGGCGUAAUGGUCAUCAGUGACCCGUCUUGAAACACGGACCAAGGAGUCGUCCAUUAGAGCGAGCGUUUGGGUGUAAAACCCGCACGCGUAAUGAAAGUGAACGCAGGUGAGAGCUUCGGCGCAUCAUCGACCGAUCCUGAUGUUCUCGGAAGGAUUUGAGUAAGAGUUUUAACGGACGGACCCGAAAGACAGUGAACUAUGCUUGUAUAGGGUGAAGCCAGAGGAAACUCUGGUGGAGGCUCGCAGCGGUUCUGACGUGCAAAUCGAUCGUCAAAUAUGAGCAUGGGGGCGAAAGACUAAU
Molecule: ribosomal RNA, 834 nt
Filed under: Diaporthe rudis
Lineage: Eukaryota; Fungi; Ascomycota; Sordariomycetes; Diaporthales; Diaporthaceae
Description: partial large subunit ribosomal RNA
Rfam family: Eukaryotic large subunit ribosomal RNA
Source: RNAcentral